AUAUCUGAAGUUUAAAAUAGCAUAAUAAAAAAUAUAUGUUGCGAGAUGAAGCUGUUGUGCAAAGCCACCUUUUUUUAUCCUCUAUAAACCAUAUCGCUUCAUGUAAUUCAAGUUUAAAACAACUUCCAUAUAAAAGAGGAGACAUAGCAACAUCAUUAACCGGGCGCUCUGUCACAUAGGUCUUGAUAAGCUCCAGUGUUCUGGCAUCCCAAAGCUGAAAGAGCAUUUGCAGAAAAGCAAGAAAAGAUCAGGCAGUUGAAUGAAACAGUUAAACCGAGAAUAGCAGAAUACAUACAUACAUGUAAUUGCACAAUUGUAUUUUCAACAAUGAACAUGUAUUUUCACAAGUUAUUACCAACAAAAAUUUAUACCCAACCAGAAAUUUUCACCAAAUAAUUACCAACAAAAAAUUCAACGUGUAAUACAUAUACCAACCGAAAAUUUUCACCAAGUAAUUACCAACAAACAAUUUUCACCAAGUAAUUACCAACAAAAAUUUAUACCCAACCGGCAAUAUACCAAAAAAAUUUCAGAACCACCCAGCACAAAAAACCAUACCCAGAAUGCUGGUAAAUCUGCAAUUUUACAUGCAAAUCAAACCUCAACUGUCAAUAAGCCACUAUCCAGUGUGCAAAACCAGGCUCAAAGUUCUGAAAUUUUUUAUAAAGAUCAAAUUUUGAAGGCGAAUCAAACCUUAGUUGUCAAUAAGGCACCAUCCAAUUGAAGAACCAAACUCAAAGUUUGGAAAUUUCUGUUGAAGAUCAAAAUUUGAAGGCAAAUCAGAGUGCUGCACCUGCUAGCAAGAGCACUAAUUCAAGCUCAUUGGUGAAGGAUGGAGUGGCAUCGAAUGACUCGGCAUCUUUGGCGAAGAAACAGGGUAAUGAUGGGAAGAAAUAGAGAAUGGAAAUAAUGCAGGGGUAGUGGUGAAGCAGGGGAAUGAGGGUUGGAUUGAUGGAGAAUGGGUUCAUAUCUGCUUUAAAAUAUGAUUUUGAUGAGCAAUUAUAAAAAAAUAUCAAAAAUUAAUUAUCAAAAUAAAUAUCAAAAAAUUAAUUAC
RNAcentral lists this long non-coding RNA (1054 nucleotides) under Citrus maxima (pomelo). RNAcentral describes it as "long non-coding RNA (CMAX_LNC002138)". Lineage: Eukaryota; Viridiplantae; Streptophyta; Magnoliopsida; Sapindales; Rutaceae. The record is from RNAcentral.